RNAcentral lists this non-coding RNA (242 nucleotides) under Bacillus sp. (in: firmicutes). RNAcentral describes it as "Bacillus sp. T-box sequence". It matches the Rfam family "T-box leader". From Rfam's summary of the family: Uncharged tRNA acts as the effector for transcription antitermination of genes in the T-box leader family. T-boxes are found upstream of many aminoacyl-tRNA synthetase genes and some amino acid biosynthetic genes usually in Gram-positive bacteria. The anticodon of a specific tRNA base pairs to a specifier sequence within the T-box motif, and the NCCA acceptor tail of the tRNA base pairs to a conserved bulge in the T-box antiterminator hairpin. Lineage: Bacteria; Bacillati; Bacillota; Bacilli; Caryophanales; Bacillaceae. The record is from RNAcentral.
CUAACAGCGAUGAUAGAGAAGAGUAGUUUACGGGAGCGUCAAUCAGGGAGAAAAUGCCGGUGACUGAGAGCAUUUUUUUGACUGCGGUAAAUGAAUUCACCUCUUUAGCUGGCAUCAGGACCAUUCGGCUUUUGAAUGUAAAGAUGUUCCGGAUCAAUUCCGUUAUCUUAGAACGAAGUGAACAGCUUAUGUUUUUUUGCUGUUAACAAGGGUGGUACCGCGAUAUUCAACUCGUCCCUUUU